AUCUAGUGGCGAACUCGAGAGGUAUAAACCUUACCCACAGAACUUUCUGGAAAAUUGACAGUGCGUAUUUGCCUGAAGAAGGUCAGUGUGCUUGCUUGGAGAUCAGGACGCGAAGGUCACCAUCAGAAAAGCUAAGUUUGCUGUAUAGUGAGGAUCAGGAGGUCUGAUCCUGAUUGCAGAACCUUCCCUGAUUACAGAAUCUUGGAUACCUGCCUUUCUUUCUAGGUUGUAUCUCCCACUUCACCCUUCUAGACCAUCCCAGAAGAUCUAUAAGAUUUCAUCUGGGAAAUCACUAGGAGUUCUUGGAAGGGAAAGAAGGAAGAUUGUGAUGCAGUCAGCUCACAGCGACCCUGAAAGAGAAAAUGAAAUGAGAGGGAAUAAAUGCUUGACUUCGCUGUCUUCCGAACAUCUGCUGGGUAUUUCCCUUUGGCCAAAUUGGAAGCUGGAGGGCAAGGAAGACCUUUUGUAUAGUCUGUGUUGGUAAGUGUGGGGGACACAGAGCAGGAAGGAAA
RNAcentral lists this long non-coding RNA (512 nucleotides) under Rhinopithecus roxellana (golden snub-nosed monkey). RNAcentral describes it as "lncRNA (ENSRROG00000045921.1)". Lineage: Eukaryota; Metazoa; Chordata; Mammalia; Primates; Cercopithecidae. The record is from RNAcentral.